RNAcentral lists this long non-coding RNA (1460 nucleotides) under Helianthus annuus (common sunflower). RNAcentral's name for it is "hypothetical non coding rna". Lineage: Eukaryota; Viridiplantae; Streptophyta; Magnoliopsida; Asterales; Asteraceae. The record is from RNAcentral.
GAAAGGAUCUAGAUGAAACCCUAAAGUCUUCUGCUCGUUCUCUCUCUAAGUUCACUAGCUACAACAAAUCGAUAGGUGAUUUGUAAAUCGAUAACUUGUUUUGAUUUGUGUUGCCGCAGAUUAAAAUGGUUAAAGUGGCAGUCUUCUUGUUUGCUGUCAGCGUUGGUUGUUUACGGUGGUUUUGGCAAAGCUCCGGCGGUGGUUUAUAUACAUGGUGGUCACCGGAAUUUAACCUUCCUUCUGUUUAAAGAUUUUGAAGAUUACAGAGAUUUUUACGUUUUGGUUCAGAGCUCUGUAGGUUCUGUUGGGAUCCACUCCACUGGAGUUGAUAUGUGGCCAUCUCCAACUCCAAUGGUUCCAAGUCUCAACCAUCUCCAACUCGAAUAGAGAAGAGGAAAGGCAAAUUUUGACUUUUGGAAGUCAAAUGAGUGGGUCUCUUUAAUGAGAAAACUCAUGGAACUUGCUUGAUUUUAACAAAAAGAAAUGACUUUUGCAGUUUAAUUAUUUAUGCAUGUGCAAUUUAACUAUAUUAGAGCUACAUGAGUCAAGAUUUUUGGGUCAAUUUUGAAUUUGGAAAGCAACAAGGUUGAGUUCCAAAUAACUGAAUUUAUUGAAAUUGUCAAAUUUGUGAUGAUUUAUGGAGAGGGUUCCCAGUUUGCUUGAAGUAUGUCUUGGCAUUAGUUUCACAACUGAUAAUGAGCCAUUUAAGAGGGGAAUGGGAAUGGUCACUGAGAAAAUUGUCAACUUAUUGAAGAAUGAAAAUAUGUUUGAAUCACAAGGAGGCUUGCUUUUUCUUUCUUAGAUUGUUUGAGUGAUGGUUGGUGCAAGUUGAGAAUGAGUACGGAUCUAUAGGAAAGGCGUAUGGAGGUGCGGCUACAACUACAUGACUUAGGCUGCAAACAUGGCGGUUAAAUUGGACACCCCAUUCGUAAUGUGCAAGCAAGAUAGUACUCACAACCAAAUGUUCCAUUUUUUGCUCUACACAUUUGCAGAGAAUUUGAAAUCAUCCACGGGAUGAGACGAGACGAGAAAACAGUGGGUUAGCAUACCUUCUUUUCUUGGCGAAUAGAGAGUUUUCGAUUAUCUGUUGAAAAGGUAAAAGCUGGCGUGGAAACUCAAGUUGAUUUCGUUAAGUCACUUGCUUUUGAAGCCUGUGUUGCUUUCUUUACAGACAUACAAGAUUGCGGCCUUUGUGAACUGGCUACACGGAGAACUCUCCUUCUUGGUUGAUGAGAGGGCAGUAUUGAAGCACUUUGAAGCACUUUGACUUGCCAGAAGGGAAAGCAGGUGCACUAAGAAAAGCAAGCUUUGAAUAUCAAGACCUGAACUAUGUAUCCAAACACGUAACUUUGUUGAUGAUUCAAAUCACUCCUAUGAAUAUGCUUUAAAGAAUGUACAAGUUGCUGUAUGUAUCCAAACACUUGAUAUUUAGUUUUAAAUAUCUUUUUUAUGAUCGUUAU